This is a long non-coding RNA of Pundamilia nyererei, 288 nucleotides long. RefSeq lists it as uncharacterized. NCBI's taxonomy places the organism in Eukaryota, Metazoa, Chordata, Actinopteri, Cichliformes, Cichlidae. The transcript is spliced from 3 exons. The record is from RefSeq and is a predicted model, not a curated record.
GCCCCACGUGUGAAAGCACCAGUCUGCCCCCAACAUGAUGCCCCAUCUGGCUCCUUUCGCCAACCUACACAGCUAUGCGACCUCCCCAGCAAAUAGUCUGUGGUCAGUGCCUUCUGUAACGACGAUGCAGCCUUCCAACAACUUCUAAUCAUGGUGACAGAGCUGAUCAGAGAAGUCGGUGAGGAGUUCAGAGCCGUCUGUUAAUCCUGCAGCACUGACCCUGUUCAUGCUGGGGUGUUGUCUCUGGAUUAGCCUUUGCACAACAUAGAUGAGAUGAAGUGCAAUGAC